UGCCAACUCCCUAAUGGCAACCCCGCCUC
Molecule: non-coding RNA, 29 nt
Filed under: Mus musculus (house mouse)
Lineage: Eukaryota; Metazoa; Chordata; Mammalia; Rodentia; Muridae
Source: RNAcentral